Molecule: ribosomal RNA, 289 nt
Filed under: uncultured bacterium
Lineage: Bacteria
Description: partial 16S ribosomal RNA
Rfam family: Bacterial small subunit ribosomal RNA
Source: RNAcentral
GUGGAUUAGAUACCCUGGUAGUCCAUGCCGUAAACGUUGGGAACUAGGUGUGGGUCUCAUUCCACGAGAUCCGUGCCGCAGCUAACGCAUUAAGUUCCCCGCCUGGGGAGUACGGCCGCAAGGCUAAAACUCAAAGGAAUUGACGGGGGCCCGCACAAGCGGCGGAGCAUGCGGAUUAAUUCGAUGCAACGCGAAGAACCUUACCAAGGCUUGACAUAUGCGAGAACGCGGCAGAGAUGUCGUUCUCUUUGGACACUCGCAUACAGGUGGUGCAUGGUUGUCGUCAACU